GCAUAACGCGAAGAACCUUACCAAGGCUUGACAUACACGAGAACGGGCCAGAAAUGGUCAACUCUUGGACACUCGUGAACAGGUGGUGCAUGGUUGUCGUCAGCUCGUGUCGUGAGAUGUUGGGGUUAAGUCCCGCAACGAGCGCAACCCUCGUUCUAUGUUGCCAGCACGUAAUGGUGGGAACUCAUGGGAUACUGCCGGGGUCAACUCGGAGGAAGGUGGGGAUGACGUCAAAUCAUCAUGCCCCUUAUGUCUUGGGCUUCACGCAUGCUACAAUGGCCGGUACAAUGGGCUGCGAUACCGUAAGGUGGAGCGAAUCCCAAAAAGCCGGUCCCAGUUCGGAUUGAGGUCUGCAACUCGACCUCAUGAAGUCGGAGUCGCUAGUAAUCGCAGAUCAGCAACGCUGCGGUGAAUACGUUCCCGGGUCUUGUACACACCG
Molecule: ribosomal RNA, 439 nt
Filed under: uncultured bacterium
Lineage: Bacteria
Description: bacterial SSU rRNA
Rfam family: Bacterial small subunit ribosomal RNA
Source: RNAcentral